RNAcentral lists this ribosomal RNA (763 nucleotides) under uncultured Streptococcus sp. RNAcentral describes it as "bacterial SSU rRNA". It matches the Rfam family "Bacterial small subunit ribosomal RNA", at positions 28 to 776 of the family's 1533-position model. The record is from RNAcentral. Lineage: Bacteria; Bacillati; Bacillota; Bacilli; Lactobacillales; Streptococcaceae.
GACGAACGCUGGCGGCGUGCCUAAUACAUGCAAGUAGAACGCUGAAGGAGGAGCUUGCUUCUCUGGAUGAGUUGCGAACGGGUGAGUAACGCGUAGGUAACCUGCCUGGUAGCGGGGGAUAACUAUUGGAAACGAUAGCUAAUACCGCAUAAGAGUGGAUGUUGCAUGACAUUUGCUUAAAAGGUGCACUUGCAUCACUACCAGAUGGACCUGCGUUGUAUUAGCUAGUUGGUGGGGUAACGGCUCACCAAGGCGACGAUACAUAGCCGACCUGAGAGGGUGAUCGGCCACACUGGGACUGAGACACGGCCCAGACUCCUACGGGAGGCAACAGUAGGGAAUCUUCGGCAAUGGACGGAAGUCUGACCGAGCAACGCCGCGUGAGUGAAGAAGGUUUUCGGAUCGUAAAGCUCUGUUGUAAGAGAAGAACGAGUGUGAGAGUGGAAAGUUCACACUGUGACGGUAUCUUACCAGAAAGGGACGGCUAACUACGUGCCAGCAGCCGCGGUAAUACGUAGGUCCCGAGCGUUGUCCGGAUUUAUUGGGCGUAAAGCGAGCGCAGGCGGUUAGAUAAGUCUGAAGUUAAAGGCUGUGGCUUAACCAUAGUAGGCUUUGGAAACUGCUUAACUUGAGUGCAAGAGGGGAGAGUGGAAUUCCAUGUGUAGCGGUGAAAUGCGUAGAUAUAUGGAGGAACACCGGUGGCGAAAGCGGCUCUCUGGCUUGUAACUGACGCUGAGGCUCGAAAGCGUGGGGAGCAAACAGG